Molecule: unclassified non-coding RNA, 409 nt
Filed under: Hevea brasiliensis (rubber tree)
Lineage: Eukaryota; Viridiplantae; Streptophyta; Magnoliopsida; Malpighiales; Euphorbiaceae
Source: RNAcentral
CUCUCUCUCUCUCUCUCUCGUUCGCGUCGGCCUUCCUCCCGUUCCCCUUCUCCACUUCCACCCAAUUCAAUUCGCCGUUUCCUAUCGGAGCGAACGCACAGAUUCCUGGAAUUCCUCAAACUACGCUUCGGCUUUCAACCAUCGCUUCCGGCGACUUUUAAUCCUUUUUUCUUUUGAUGGUUGACCCUUGACCGGGGGGAUCUGGGAUCUGUGUACAGUUUUCCAAGUUUUUGCGCAUUCCACAUCUCACAUCUGAUCGGACAGAUUUUUUUCCUUCCUUUUCCGCGAUCAGGUAGCUACGUACACGAUUUGUGAUCAUCUUGUUCUCUUUCUUCCUUGGUGACACGAAUAGCGGAAGGAAGGUUGUGCCACUACUACAAUACAAUACACAAUACAUAGAGGAUGGAGG